UUUGUUUCAAAUAACAACUCUGUAUUUGUUAUUGAACUCUGAAGUCCUUUAUAUCUUUAACAUUGCUGGAUAGUGACAUUUGUUCUAUAUUAAAAUUUAAAAACAUGAUCUCUGAGGAAUUUUUUUCAAUCUGUUUAGGUGCCUGCACCCCCAUGCAAUUUAACCUCAGUUCCAGCAUAUUCAAACAUGAUCUGUAGUGUGCAAAACCGUAUAGUUUUCUGAUAUUGGAACCCUCUUUAUUUUCACAAGCAGAUAAAGUUUUAAUGAAAAGCAGUUUUAGAAAGUGACCAUUAGUGAUUACCAGCAUACCUUUCCUCAGAAAUUAAACCAAAUAUUGGUCAAUAAAAAUAAACAGAUGUAAGUGGUACUGCUAAUUUGUUGCAUCCAUACUACCGAAGGGCCCUAGCCAAAGCCUACUGAAAUGAAUAGACAGACACCCAAUGAUUUCUUUGGCCUUGUAUCAGGACCUAAGAGCAUUCAUUGUUCUCAUUCAUUUUAUAUUCACAUUUAUUUUUCUCCAAAGUUCAUCUGUUUUCUGGGACAAUUAGAAAGUGUUGUUUUGGUGGACUUGGACCAACACUGGUGUUACUGGUCUGAUAGCUGAACAUAGUGUAAUUAGAACAUUUUGAACCUUUAUACAUUAAAAUUGCCAUGGACAAAUGUAGCAUAUUGUACCCUAUGCACAAUAUAAUGCUUCCAACUAUUCUUUAUUCAGUGGAGCUGUGAGACAAAUUCAAAGAAAGGCAUCUCCAAUAGUUUUAAGGAUCUAACAAACUAUUUUAAGGAACACCACAGACUCCCAGCCAUUUAUCGUCUGUGUCCACAAAAAACUUUAAAAGGGGCCUCUUUUUUCAAAAGCAAACUGUAUAGAUAAUCCUCUCCUCCCAGCAAUCAUGCCCAGAUUAUGUUCUAUGUGGCUCCCACUCAGGAAAGAAUAACAAGAAUCAGGCAUCAAGUAUAUCCAGGUUUAUGGAACUCCAUCUUGCACUCAACCUCAGCCCCUUCACCAUUGAUCUCCAAUUGUUUUUCAUCGCUCUUUCACUCUCUUUCUCUCUGUCUCUGUCUCACUCUCUCUCUGCCAUUUGUUCUUUGCAGGUUAGGUGACUCUUCCCCAUCACAUUUCUAGGGGGCAGGGUUUGUUUGGCAAAGGUCUGUGUAAAACAUUGAACAGACUCUAUUCAGGGGUCUCAUUGAGAUCAGGUCUUUUUGUUUCUACAGGUAAAAAACAAAUAACUAACAAUCUCUCUUAGUUCCUGUUAAAAUGAUUUUAAAAAUAUGAAGAACUCUAGCAUGUUAGUCUUUUAUAUGGGUAGAACUUUGCAGUAAAGAUAGUAGGUAAGAGAAGGGACUUGGAUACCUAGUUCCCAUUAGGGAUUGCAUGUCCAGAUACCUAUGGAACUUUGCAUAUCUGAGCUUAGAGGUUUUGGUACAGUGUAGGUUGAGGAAUUCUGUUUAAAUGGAAGAAAGGCUCUAUAAGAAUUCUAAAACAUACAGUUUGUUAGCUUCUUUUCAAGGGCUAAAAAAAAAAGUGAGCAUAGUCUCAGUUAGCACUAAAAAGUGAUCUAUGUUACAAACUGUAAGUUAGCAGAAUUUGGCAUGAUUGGCAGGCUGAAAUGAAGAUAAUGUAUAUGCUACCAAAGACUCUGGAUGCUGAGGCUGAAAUAAUUGUCACUAGAGGUCAAGUUUGAGGUCAUUGACAUGGCAGUGUCAACAUGCUUGCAUCACAGAUCUACAAUAAUAAAGUACUUAGAGUUUAUAAUAGUUUGCAGUUGCUACCCGUAUCAUAAGAUUCAGAAUGAUCAGUAUUCACCCAUAUUAGCUUAUAAAAAUAAAGCUGUUUCCAAAAUUUUGUUAAGAAUAUAUUUCUUCCUAUAGUGUUAAGGUAUUGUUUCAGUUGGAUUUGUUUCUCUGGUUUCUUUUUGGGGUGAUUCUAUUAUUUUGUAUAAUUGUUUCUUAAAAAAUGAAUGAAUCAGAGGCUGUAUGUGAAAGCAGAAAAAGUAUUUUUGAUAGGAUCUGCAGAACUUUUUUUCUCCCAAUAGCUGUGAUGGAAAUUUUACUUCUCUGUACUUUUUUAUACUCUUUUUACAGAUAAUUAAAGCAAAUGUACUUAUAUCAAA
Long non-coding RNA from Dermochelys coriacea (leatherback sea turtle), 2117 nucleotides. RefSeq lists it as uncharacterized. The transcript is spliced from 2 exons. The record is from RefSeq and is a predicted model, not a curated record. Lineage: Eukaryota; Metazoa; Chordata; Testudines; Dermochelyidae.